Molecule: ribosomal RNA, 254 nt
Filed under: uncultured bacterium
Lineage: Bacteria
Description: partial 16S ribosomal RNA
Rfam family: Bacterial small subunit ribosomal RNA
Source: RNAcentral
UACGUAGGGGGCGAGCGUUGUCCGGAAUCAUUGGGCGUAAAGAGCUCGUAGGCGGCUUGGUAAGUCGGUCGUGAAAGCCCGAGGCUCAACUUCGGGACUGCGGUCGAUACUGCUAUAGCUAGAGUUUGGUAGAGGAGAACGGAAUUCCCGGUGUAGCGGUGGAAUGCGCAGAUAUCGGGAGGAACACCUGUAGCGAAGGCGGUUCUCUGGGCCAAUACUGACGCUGAGGAGCGAAAGCGUGGGGAGCAAACAGG